ACCAGGUGCCAUCAGCCUGGCAGGUGCUGGCCUCGGCCCCGGCCAGGCUGUAGCCGCUGUCGCAGUGGAAGUGGACAGUGGAGCCCACCAGUUUGGCCGCCUCACUCGCCUGGCUGGGGCUGGAGGUGGUCUCCUCGGGGAAGAGGGGCAGGAAAUUGGGGUCAUGCUUGGGCCGAAGCAGGAAGUUUUCCACCAGGAACUUGGAGUCGUAGGUCGGUCCCAGAGGCCUCCAGCAGCACGUACUCGCCGCGUCCGUUGAAUGUGAAGUUGGUGCCAUCGAAGGUGACAAAGUGUGGGUCCCCGAAAGUGGAGGCUGUGGAGAGCGGAGGGUCAGGUAGGUUGCCCUGGCCCCGCCCUGCCUGGGGCCCCGCCCUGGCCAGCACCUGCCCAGGCAGCACCCACCCAGGCGCGGGGGCUGGUAGCUGCGGCAGUCACUGGAGGGCCGCCUCUGCAUGUAGCGGGAGCACUCGGGCGCCCAGAGGCAGCAGUAGUAGAAGCUGAUGACAUCGUAGAUCCAGUGGGAGAGGCCCGGCACGCGGGGCGGCACGCGGUAUGGGGGUGCGCCCCAGUCGUGGCCGCGGUCCGGGGUGCUGCCACUGGUGGAGUCGGCUGUCAGGAGCUGUGUGCCCGCCGCCGUGUAGCAGCACUGCUGGCCUGAGCCAUAUAGGGGGCUGGGGGCACAGACAGGUCAGGGCCGCCUUGGCAUCCUGCCCCCAGCCCCCACCCCGCACCCUGCCCACCGUCUCUGGGCUCACCUGGCUUGCACGGAGCGAACGCAGUGCACAGCCCCUGGGUGAUAGGUGCACACGCUGCCAUGCUCGAUGUCACAGCCGUAGUCCGCCUGCAGAGCGGCUGGUUGCUGUCCCCUGCACUGGCUUUGGGCUCUGUCAUCCCCUCCCUGGGAGCCAACCCCUCUGGGGCCCUGGGCCCUCAGACCCCAACCUUACCUCCCAGGUCUCUACCUGCCUCCCCCUGCACUG
Long non-coding RNA from Balaenoptera ricei (Rice's whale), 980 nucleotides. RefSeq lists it as uncharacterized. The transcript is spliced from 3 exons. Lineage: Eukaryota; Metazoa; Chordata; Mammalia; Artiodactyla; Balaenopteridae. The record is from RefSeq and is a predicted model, not a curated record.